UUGGUUAGAACUCAACACAGGUUGGCGACGCAAUGACGCCAACAUCGAAGCUCGCGACGCCGGCAGCGAGCACCAACGGCAGAAGCAUUCUGCCCGACCUCAAUGAAGGUCGACGGGACAUAUACAGUCAAC
This is a non-coding RNA of Pseudomonas sp. ABAC61, 132 nucleotides long. The record is from Rfam. Lineage: Bacteria; Pseudomonadati; Pseudomonadota; Gammaproteobacteria; Pseudomonadales; Pseudomonadaceae.